UUUGAUUGACUGAGUGGCGGACGGGUGAGUAACGCGUGGAUAACCUGCCUCACACUGGGGGAUAACAGUUAGAAAUGACUGCUAAUACCGCAUAAGCGCACAGUACCGCAUGGUACGGUGUGAAAAACUCCGGUGGUGUGAGAUGGAUCCGCGUCUGAUUAGCCAGUUGGCGGGGUAACGGCCCACCAAAGCGACGAUCAGUAGCCGACCUGAGAGGGUGACCGGCCACAUUGGGACUGAGACACGGCCCAAACUCCUACGGGAGGCAGCAGUGGGGAAUAUUGCACAAUGGGCGAAAGCCUGAUGCAGCGACGCCGCGUGAGUGAAGAAGUAUUUCGGUAUGUAAAGCUCUAUCAGCAGGGAAGAAAAUGACGGUACCUGACUAAGAAGCCCCGGCUAACUACGUGCCAGCAGCCGCGGUAAUACGUAGGGGGCAAGCGUUAUCCGGAUUUACUGGGUGUAAAGGGAGCGUAGACGGCGAAGCAAGUCUGAAGUGAAAACCCAGGGCUCAACCCUGGGACUGCUUUGGAAACUGUUUUGCUAGAGUGUCGGAGAGGUAAGUGGAAUUCCUAGUGUAGCGGUGAAAUGCGUAGAUAUUAGGAGGAACACCAGUGGCGAAGGCGGCUUACUGGGCG
RNAcentral lists this ribosomal RNA (635 nucleotides) under uncultured Lachnospiraceae bacterium. Its description in RNAcentral is "bacterial SSU rRNA". It matches the Rfam family "Bacterial small subunit ribosomal RNA", at positions 82 to 735 of the family's 1533-position model. Lineage: Bacteria; Bacillati; Bacillota; Clostridia; Lachnospirales; Lachnospiraceae. The record is from RNAcentral.